This 497-nucleotide ribosomal RNA is filed under the name uncultured bacterium. RNAcentral describes it as "partial 16S ribosomal RNA". It matches the Rfam family "Bacterial small subunit ribosomal RNA", at positions 28 to 507 of the family's 1533-position model. The record is from RNAcentral.
GAUGAACGCUGGCGGCGUGCCUAAUACAUGCAAGUCGAGCGAACAGACGAGGAGCUUGCUCCUCUGACGUUAUCGGCGGACGGGAGAGUCACACGUGGAUAACAUAACUAUAAGACUGGGAUAACUUCGGGAAACCGGAGCUAAUACCGGAUAAUAUAUUGAACCGCGUGGGUCAAUAGUUAAAGUCGGUUUUGCUGUCACUUAUAGCUGGAUCCGCGCCGCAUUAGCUAGUUGGUAAGGUAACGGCUUACCAAGGCAACGAUGCGUAGCCGACCUGAGAGGGUGAUCGCACACACUGGAACUGAGACACGUUCCAGACUCCGACGGGAGGCAGCAGUAGGGAAUCUUCCGCAAUGGGCGAGAGCUUGACGGAGCAACGCCGCGUGAGUGAUGAAGGUCUUCGGAUCGUAAAACUCUGUUAUUAGGGAAGAACAAAUGUGUAAGUAACUAUGCACGUCUUGACGGUACCUAAUCAGAAAGCCACGGCUAACUACGUG